RNAcentral lists this long non-coding RNA (1539 nucleotides) under Gouania willdenowi (blunt-snouted clingfish). RNAcentral's name for it is "lncRNA (ENSGWIG00000020785.1)". Lineage: Eukaryota; Metazoa; Chordata; Actinopteri; Blenniiformes; Gobiesocidae. The record is from RNAcentral.
UGUUCAUUCAAUAUGUUUUUUGCAAUUGGCUUCAGUAAAUAAAUUAAAUUGUCCUGUACAAUUUAAACAAUACAGAUAGAGUCAUGUGAGAUAAUUAAAAAAAUUUGAUUGGUGUAAUUGUGUAAUAUAAAUCAACAGUUAUUUACAAUAGUUAAAUUGACCUAAUGAACAUUUGUUUAUUGAGGGCUCCUUGCGCAUGCGUCGUGUCAUGUUAGAACCUCCAAUAGGGGGCAGCACUGAAAACAACCGCACUUGACUCUGCUCAAUUAAAGCAGCAGAAAUAUCACGACAUGUGCUCUGGAAGUUUCUUGCAUUGCAACCGCAACCAACUGACCUAGACCGAGACGGUGACUCUGGACUGUGCCACCCCAGCGGUAAAAGGGAGUAUCCCACACCACAGCAAUAGGGUGGUGACUCAAAGGCCAACUCUCUGUUGUGCUGCUACUGGCUGGUUAACUCCUUCUGGAUCACUGCAGAGUUUUUAAGGAUCACGUCCAUUGGAGACUACAUUUGCUGCACAUUUGAAUAAACACGCUGCCAAACUCAUGGAAGUUGUAAGAAGGAAAGGAGGAGCUAUUGGAGACAAUGCUGCAGGGAUUCUACAUGAUCAUGAUGAGGCUUCAUCAAACGGUUCACUGAACGCAUCUACACGAAGGCAGUGUCUUCUGAAGUUACUGAUGGUUUUCCUGGGAGACCCUGUGGAUGCAAUCAUCAAAGAACAUCAGGACCUGCAAGAUUCGAAUGUGGAAGUAGAGACCAUGGCAGUCAUCCUAAUGCCCACAGAUGUGAAAAUCAUUCUGGAAGGCGAAGAGGUUAUGGCUGAUCUGCAUUCGGUGGUCGACGGAUUCGUCAUGCUGUUUGGGCUCAUUUAUCCCCUCAACAUGCAGUACCCAAAGUCGUGUGGACGUACAUUUGAGUUUGUUCAGAAGGUUCUUAUGGGACUGGAUGACAAGAAAAUGAACAAAAAGAAUGACUACCUACAAGCACUUUUUCUGGAACUAUGUUGUGUAACUGCUUGGGUAAAGAGACUGACAAGAUCAGUUUUUCUAGGGAGAAGCUGAAAAUAUUCAAGUUAAAGAGACACAACCAUUUGGGCAAAUAUGCUCAUUUUCCAAACUAUUGAGUUUUACCUUUCCCCUGUUCAUCCAGCUGUUCUCUGAGUCUGGCGACCCCAUUUGUGGCUUUAGCUUAGCAUGAAUCAUUGAAUCGGAUUAGGCUGAUAACACCUAAUGCUAAUUGCUAAUGGUCUAAUCCGAUUCAAUGAUUCAUGCUAAGCUAAAGCCACAAAUGGGGUCUCCAGACUCAGAGAACAGCUGGAUGAACAGGGGAAAGGUAAAACUCAACAGUUUAACUCGAGGGGAGGUGGGAAAUGAGCAUAUUUGCCCAAAUGGUGGUGUGUCCCUUUAAACAUUGUUCAAACUCCAAAUCUAUAAAUAUUUUUUAUUUAUUUUUGCAUUUGUAACCCUACAAAAUGUUAUCCUGACCACUGUUAAAUUAGGACAAAAUAAAAUAAUUGAUUAGUAUAAAAAGAUUUAAUUA